AAGAAAAGCGCAUCUAGUUAGUCAAAGGAGACUGCCUGAAGCCACAAUGGGUUUUCGAAAUAAUACAUCGACUAUGAAGUUCAAUGGAACAUGCAAGUCAUCCUUGGCUACUAAAUUACGCUCU
RNAcentral lists this microRNA precursor (124 nucleotides) under Punica granatum (pomegranate). The record is from RNAcentral. Lineage: Eukaryota; Viridiplantae; Streptophyta; Magnoliopsida; Myrtales; Lythraceae.